GGUUUUCUUGGGUAUGGUUAGAUUUGAAGUCUUACCUAGGGCGUUCGACUCGUCCAAAAACUU
This 63-nucleotide transfer RNA is filed under the name Xylophaga washingtona. Its description in RNAcentral is "tRNA-Ser". Lineage: Eukaryota; Metazoa; Mollusca; Bivalvia; Myida; Xylophagaidae. The record is from RNAcentral.